RNAcentral lists this long non-coding RNA (821 nucleotides) under Coturnix japonica (Japanese quail). RNAcentral's name for it is "lncRNA (ENSCJPG00005014407.1)". Lineage: Eukaryota; Metazoa; Chordata; Aves; Galliformes; Phasianidae. The record is from RNAcentral.
GGAAGACAAUGUCUGUGGCUCCUGCAGUAAUGUUUUCUGGCUGUAGGUUUGCAGAGGAUGCAGAUGUGUGUGUGCUUGGGAAAGGCAAACCAUCCUGCUGGCAAUGAAAAGGGGUAGACCAGCCCAUAAGACAAAAGCUGGGAAGUAUGGAUCACUACGAGGGUGCUCGUGAACAUCUAGGUUUGGUAUGACACAUCAGUCACAAUGGAGGCAGUCCAGGCAAACAGCUUUAGGAGAGCAUGUGCUGUGCUUCAAGAUUCCCCUCAGCUGACCAUAUGCAUUUUCCUAGAAGAGGAAACCACGAUCAGUAAAGCUUGCAGGGCUGUGGAGAACCUUCCUUACUCAGGCAGUGUCCUGUGCCAUGUGUCUGGGAGCCAGAGGGUCUCUUCUGGAGCCUUCACCACCACAUCACACCUCUGGCCCUGCAAGAUUGGCAUCUUCUCCCAGAUUAUGACUGUUGGAGUCAGAGAAGAGCUACAUCCACGUUCAACUGUUAAACACAGUAUAAAUAAAUGGAAGAAAAGCCCCUACCCAGCAAGGCCAGAGCCCUACAGAUAACCUCUGCUUCCUCUUUAAGCUUACCUGCUACCGUCCAUUAGUGAUGGUUACCAGCAAGCUGCAUCCACAUCACUGAAUCUGACAAAGUUACCCUCAACCCAGCGGGAUUAUGAUGAUUUGCCUCUAAUUUUUGGACUUCAGCAAACACACAAAUGCAUUUAUGAAGUACCAGCUAUCGUUUCAGCUGACUCUUCAUUAAAAUGUAUUUAGAUGUCCUUCAAAAAAAAAAAAAAAAUAAAAAAAUCAUCUUGCAUUGAAACUCA